Molecule: ribosomal RNA, 372 nt
Filed under: uncultured bacterium
Lineage: Bacteria
Description: bacterial SSU rRNA
Rfam family: Bacterial small subunit ribosomal RNA
Source: RNAcentral
AUUGAACGCUGGCGGCAUGCCUUACACAUGCAAGUCGAACGGCAGCACGGGAGCAAUCCUGGUGGCGAGUGGCGAACGGGUGAGUAAUAUAUCGGAACGUGCCCGGUCGUGGGGAUAACGUAGCGAAAGCUACGCUAAUACCGCAUACGAUCUACGGAUGAAAGCGGGGGAUCGCAAGACCUCGCGCGAUUGGAGCGGCCGAUAUCAGAUUAGGUAGUUGGUGAGGUAAAGGCUUCACCAAGCCCGACGAUCUGUAGCUGGUCUGAGAGGACGACCAGCCACACUGGGACUGAGACAGGCCCAGACUCUACGGAGGCAGCAGUGGGGAAUUUUGGACAAUGGGCGCAAGCCUGAUCCAGCAAUGCCGCGUGC